GACGAACGCUGGCGGCGUGCUUAACACAUGCAAGUCGAACGGAAAGGCCCUGCUUUUGUGGGGUGCUCGAGUGGCGAACGGGUGAGUAACACGUGAGUAACCUGCCCUUGACUUUGGGAUAACUUCAGGAAACUGGGGCUAAUACCGGAUAGGAGCUCCUGCUGCAUGGUGGGGGUUGGAAAGUUUCGGCGGUUGGGGAUGGACGCGCGGCUUAUCAGCUUGUUGGUGGGGGAGUGGCUUACCAAGGCAUUGACGGGUAGCCGGCCGGAGAGGGUGGCCGGCCACAUUGGGACUGCGAUACGGCCCAGACUCCUACGGGAGGCAGCAGUGGGGAAUAUUGCCCAAUGGGCGGAAGCCUGAUGCAGCAACGCCGCGUGCGUGAUGACGGCCUUCGGGUUGUAAACCGCUUUCGCCUGUUACGAAGCGUGAGUGACGGUACUGGGUAAAGAAGCACCGGCUAACUACGUG
Molecule: ribosomal RNA, 468 nt
Filed under: uncultured bacterium
Lineage: Bacteria
Description: partial 16S ribosomal RNA
Rfam family: Bacterial small subunit ribosomal RNA
Source: RNAcentral